This is an RNA transcript of Onychomys torridus (southern grasshopper mouse), 16254 nucleotides long. It is a transcript of the gene named ESX-1 secretion-associated protein EspI-like, with no coding region annotated. The transcript has 7 exons. NCBI's taxonomy places the organism in Eukaryota, Metazoa, Chordata, Mammalia, Rodentia, Cricetidae. The record is from RefSeq and is a predicted model, not a curated record.
CCCCUAGCGCAGACAGCGAAGAGCUGGGAUGGAGCUCGCCUUGGCUCUGCUGGCCUUGGCUGCAGCUCUCCCGGAGAGCGGGGCACCCAAAGGAGAAUCCCUUACCUGCUCUCUCUUCAGGGAUGACAUCAUCGGCUCACCGCAGUCUUCAAGGACCACCUUCUUUGGACGUCAAGCUUUUGCUCAAGUGCCUGUGGCGAUACCUGCUGAACAUCUCUACCUUCUGAGCCAAGGAGCAUGGAUUCCUGGAACCCACCAGCAUACAGAGCAGCCCCUCGUGGACCCCGAGACCAUGACAUCAAGGGACAAGGGACAAAGAGGAUCAGCAGUGUCCAGUUAGCCUCCCUUUGGGUUCAAGCCUUGAACCAGUGCCCUAGUGAGGGGGCACUGGUCAUGACCUUCGACCUUUUUUCUGCUUGUGCCUUGAUUCUGAGCCCUUCCCUGUAUGUCUCUGCUUGUGUUCAUCUGCCAGUGAACUGGAGUGCUUCCCUCCCCAAGGGGGUGUCGUCCCUUGUGACUGACCAUGUUAUCCUAACAGUAUCCUGAGCAGAAGGGUCCCUUUGGGAGCCUCUCAGGAGGGGGACCUGGGCCAGGGGCCACCAGCAAUAUGCUGGCAACUCUGUGGGUGGGGGUGGGGUGCUUCUGGAAUGAGCAUGUGGCUGACCCCCAAAGGCGUGCUCCCCCCCUCCACCCACCUUUUUGGAGAUGUCCCUUCCUUUUGGGUUAAUGGGACAUUAGGAGCAACCUCCUAGGGUUGUUGUGAGAAUUAAAUGAGUUAGAGCAGCCUGAGGCAGGGCUGCAGAGCCCUCAGCACAUGUUUGUUGAAAGGUUUGCAGGUGGAUCUGUUCCCACCCACUCACUUGUCUCAUCUGCUCUCCUGCAGCCCCCCCGCAGCCCCCCUCCUGCAGCCCCCCCCCCUGCAGCCCCUGUGCACAGGGCUCUCCUUGCACCAGGUAGGGGCUCUUAAAGUCAGCAGGCCGGACCAUGUGUGGCCAUUUCCAGAGCACUUUCUAUGUACCAUGUUCAUGUUGUUCCUACGUAAUCUGUGUAUGCAAAGGGGGGAGGCGUGGUGUCCAGAGAGGGACAAAUUGGCGUUGAUGUUUCAUGACUUUAAAGAGGUAGGUGGGAAAGAGAACUGGGAGAACCCAGCCUCACUCGUGGGUUGGACUGAAAUUUACACCAAGGACAGUGACGUAUUUUGCUACAUUGCUGGCAAGAGAAGGGGUCAGAGUUGGACCUGGGUACCAUUGUGGCUGCCCCUGAUGGUCCCCUCCUCUGUCCUCAGCCUAAAGUUCUUCUGAGAGUCCCUUUAUUUCAUAUCAGACAUUUCACAAUGGGGAAAAGUCUAUCUGAAAUCCUAGCUUCCCAAGGGUGGUCUUGGGAGCUGCUGGGGGAGGGGGGUUGGCUCAAGUCUGGUAGCAAGGGCUGACUUCAUCUCUUAGCAAUGGUAUGAUCUUAGACAAGUCAUUUAACCUCCAAGUUUCAGUUCCUUUCACACCUAAAUAGGGAUUAAAAAAAGAAAAAAAAGUAAAGAAAAAAAAAGAAAGAAAAAGAAAAAAGUAAAGAAAAAGAAAAAUGGGGGGUGGGGGGAGAGGAAACCAGUUUAUCUAUUCAACAGGGUGUUUUGGAAGACCAAACGAUGUAACUCACAAGAAAGUGCUUUGUAAAUUGCCGUGAAAUUGCAAAAUACUUACUAACUAACCAAUGAGGCUGGCCCUAUUUCCCACUGUCCAGUCUUAUUGUCUCUCACAAUAAUAGUGAACACCCAGUAGGUGCUGGGUGUAUUUGUAUUCAAUAAAUAAAUUCUAGAAUUAAAAAAAACCCAUAGAAUUAAUUCAACAAACAUUUUCUGAGAUGCUGACCAUGUGCCCGACGCACCAGGCUAUGGCUGAGGUACAAAGAUAAAGAGAAUAGCCUCUUUUUGAGGCUAAUUGGGGUCCUCAUUUCACCAGCACUUUCUUUGGUCGCCUUUUAAACCAACCAGUUUUGUCCAGACAAGACAAAAAACACAAACACAAACAAAAACAACUGUAUCGCUUUAGGGAAGCCCAGCUUGGAGUGGACAAUAAUGUCCAGGCCUCUGAAAAGGGCUGAUUGGAUUCUGAAGCAAAUGGAAGCCGAAGGAGGGCUUAGAAGGUGACUAACGCAGUAGGCGGAGACCCGCUCUACAUUAAUUCAGGCUAUUAGGAGGGACCCUUUCCAUCUUCCAGAGUGGCCAGUGGCUUUCACCAUCGCCCGUUCUGUCCCUAACGUUCAGCACACAUGGAUGCUGGAGCUACCCUUUGCUCCUCUCUUGCCACUGUCCAUUCAUUUGAUGCUCACAACUCCCUGUCCUGAUCCAGGGCCGGCCUGCCAUCUCCCAGGGAAGCAGAGGUUGCCAAGUGGUUUCUCCGAAUGGGGCCCCCACCCCCAUAUCAUUCUCUUCACGACCUCUUCAGUUUUAGCAGUGGACAUGUACCUGUCUCAAGCCUGCACCUCCACUUCAGUUCCCCUCUGGACUCCUGACUCUGCUGUCCCCACCUGGAGCCCCACCUCCUCCUGUCCUCCUUCCUCGCCACUCCAGUGUCUGUCUUUCCUUCACAGCCCGGCUUCUCGAGGCCUGUCUACACUCGCUGCUUUCCUUCCUCACCUCCAAUUUCCCCUCCAACCCACUGCUUCCUGACUCGCUCUUCUCCAUCGAACGGCCCUCGCUCAGGUAAAGACUUUUCUGUAGCUUGACCCUUGGCACGACUCCAGCCUGGCUGGACACAAGGACACAUGCAUCUCCAUGCCUCCUGUUCCAUGGCUUCAUGGCUCUGGUUCCCUUCUAUUUUCAAACUACUGACUUCAUGGACACUACUCUCACCUUCCCUGGGAACUUGCAUUCCCAAGCCUCUCAGUUUCCCAAACGUGCCUUGUGCUACCCAGUUGGCAGGGCUGCCUAGACGAGCACUCUGGGGUUGGCUGAUGUGGGCUCAGGCCUUAGGUAAACCACUCCAUACUAGGACCACAGUGUCAGACGGCUCUUCCAAGCUAUCUUGGCUAAAACAGGGUUAAUGGUCUUCACCAGGAAGGCCAGGUGAGCUCUACCAGGUAAGCUCCAGAUGCCCUAGCUGAGAGACUGGAGGUAAAAUCAAUUAGGUAUUCCUGAGCAAAUGCAAUUUGGGUCACAAUUCAGUUUUCUUGAAGUUGAGUUCCCACAGAGAAGACCAAAGAAAAUUGAAGGGGUGGGGGAGGCAUUAAAGACAGUGAAGGUGAGGAGGGGGGAUUUAGAAAAAGUUCAGACCUACCCAAACCUCAUCUAGCAAAAGCUUUUCCUCCUAGGUUAGCCUGGGCUUAGAAGAAAAAAAAACCAGAAGGAAGCUUUUAAGUUGAUUACUCAGUGACAAAUCCCAGGAAACUUCCAUAUCACAUGGCCCCAUUCAAAGGUUUUGAGUUCCUCCUCUGAGGUUUAACCUCUGUACCUCCUGCCCUCUACCCGCUACCUCCCUGGACUGGUGAUUAAGUCCUGAAGGUACAAGAAGGGUCUCAGGGAACAACUAGCUCACAGUGCAGAGCCACCUCUGCUCCCAGCUGUUUGUUGUUGUUUUUUUUUUUUCUUUCAGUUUUUUUCUCCUCUUUUGCCCUUUCUCCCUAAUGAACACAGGGUUAAUUUUGGCCUGCAGAGUAAUGAGGUAGCUCCUGGACUCCAAUAUUUGUAAGGAGCCCUCUUUGUCUGUGAAGGAAAAACACACUGAUUACCAUAAUGAGCUGAGCUGGUGGCUUCCGGGUAGGGGGCCUUGGGUUCUUAAGCCAUACUUUAAUCCUGGUGUCCGAAGAUUCCCUUCAUGGGAGUCUAAACCUCCAUCCCAGGGCAAGACUCAUUGAGUGAGGUUGCAAGUUGAAGGUGUCUGUGAGGGGCUGCACAAAGUCCACACUGACCACACUCAUUACUUCUCACCCAGCCUCCUGCAAAGUUUCCUGCUCCCACCCCAGUCAUCUUCAGACCUGUUGCAGGCCCCAUGAAGGAGACUCCCUCCCUCCUUCCCUCAGUGGGUCCACUGGCUAAAGGCUCUGUAGCACCACGGGUUCAAAUUAGGUCUUGACCUUGUAUAGGAAGGAGUUGAAGCUAGAGACUAGGAUGAAGGCUAAGGCCUCCAGAAAGAGCCACACACAAGCCUCCCUCACAGCAUGGGGCCAGUUGGUACUGUGUCCACUGUCUCUAGGCUCCCCCUGUCUCAAAUAUCUGCCAGUCAGUAAAAUAAUAGGUCCCUGAAGCCGCUUCUGAUAUUCUAGGAGUCUGGGAGUAUUUCAGAAGCAAGGAAACAUGCUAAGGGCCUUUGCUCAGUAUCUGACAGUCCUAGAUGAUUGAGGUUUUGUGUAAGGAACCUCCAAAUUUAGCAGCCUUGAGCAACUCUCCCCCAGCUCUCCAGUUCUUAAUGUUCUAGAAGGAAGGCUCCCUGUAAAGGAGGAUUCAAGCUAACUGCUUCCUUGAGCGUGUUCACCCCUACUCCACUUCCUAGGACCCUCAAGGGUGCUUCUGUGCUUCAGGGGAUUUAAGCUCCCCACCCCCACCCUACCCCAGCCCCCUUGCUUCCAGCCCAGGCAUCCAGGCUGGCUUCAGAGUUGGCCCAGAGACCUAGAGCAUCCUGGGUACUUAAGAACAAUAGAGUCAGUCAGGACAGAGCAGGAAGCUAUGGAGAUGAGGCCAAGGAAGUGGGGGAGGUGACACGAAAUGCCCUGGCCCCCAAGUCUUCUGAGAACGACUGUUUUUUCUGCCUUUACUGCCCAUUCCCCUCCUCCAUUCUCUGUCUCAGCCUCCCUCUGUUUGUCUCCCUCUCCCUCCCAUUGGAUCUGGCCCUUUUGGGGUGCCCCUAGGCCACCCCCUCCUCCUCUGGGUGUCCCAGCACCAACCCGGUAAAUAGUGGGGCUCAGUAAGAGUAUGUGGGAUGUAUAGCGGGACAGGUGGACGAAUGGAUGGGCUCAACUGUCACUCCAGGGCAGCUAGGGUUCAGAAGGUGUAGGGUUGGGGGUGGGGGCUCAAGGGACUUGGGAGCAGCAGCUACCUGCCCUAGUCUGGGACCCCUUUGAAGGGGUCCUGAUGUUGCGCCCUGCAUUCAUCCGCGCGUUCACUCUGGCAUCCAACAGUUGAUCCUAACUGAGCGUGCCCAUGGUCCUGGCCCUGGGCUUGGCACCUGCCACCUAGCUUGUCCCUUGAUGGCCUCUGCUUCCCAGGGAGGGCAAGCUGGGGGGUUGUCUGGGAGCCAGAGCAGUGGUCUCUGGCUCCAUAGAGGGCAUUCAGAGGGCAUGGGGUGGGCCUGGUUUGCCUGCCCUGCCUUCACGCAGACCUGCCCACCCCCAGGGCCUUGCCCCCCUCUCUGCCUCCCUCCACAUUCAUGGCUGAGUAUGGGCUACUGGCCCUGCAGCUUAGGGCUGAGCCAAGCUUACAGGAACAGCUGUGAUGUGCCAUCGGUCCUGGCCACACAGGUCUCCCUCCCUCUUGAGCUGAUGGGGGUCUGAGGCUUUUGGAUCCUUCCCACAGUUUGUUCCUUCCCCUGGGAUGCAGUCCAGCCUUUCCGUCCCCAACCAUCAGGCUGAGGACUGUGUCCCAGCCGCCAGGAGCCUCCAGAGAGCAUGUGCAGGCCCCGCCUUUGCCUGGCUGCCCACCUGCUCUUCUUUACCUGCUGGCUGGCCCCUGCUUCAACAGCGCCCGGGUUCAUCACCCACUCAGCAUUCUGCUUGCAUAGUCUUUCCCCAUGAUGUCUCCCUAACACCAACCUGUGCCUCAGUCCCUGGGCUCACCCUAUUCCUCCCUCUCCCUCGGGUCUCAGCCACUGGUACCUGCUUUACAGGCUGGCUUCCCUUGCUAAGCCCAUACCUGUGGCUAACCUGGUCCACCUGCUGCCCUUAGCCUUGCCAUCAGAUCCCCAAUCCCAUUGUGCCCCCCAAUUCAGUGUUACGUCAGUUGCCAGCAGCCUCCUGGUGCCUGUUGGACAAUCCCUGGCUGGUUCUUCAUCUCCGGUGGGACUGAUUUCCAGGGUCUGAGUGACCAGGGGCUUAAGCCACAUUUAUGACUCGGCCUGCUGGCCCUGGAGACCCCUCAUCAUCAUCAUCGUCGUUCCCUGGCCUGUCUCGUCUUCCUGUACCAUUUCCUGUUGUGCUCAGGUUCUACAAACCGCCCAUCUUCACAGAAGAGCAGCUGGCAUCGCCCACCAUGCUGAAGAGCAAGCCACGGAGGAUCCCACAACGCCCAGCACGAGGACCCCAGGAUGCCAGCACAAGGACCCCAGAACGCCCAGCACAAGGACCCCAGGACACCCAGCGAGAGGACCCCACGACACCCAGCGCGAGGACCCAUCCCUUCACUAUGUGCAUUGUGCCACCCUCCUGGAUUUGGCCAAAGUCAUCACCCAGAAUCCUGCGUGGGACCCUGGACACAUGGACAUGGACACAUGCCCCUGGGACCCUCCAACUGUAAAUCGAUGGAAGCGCCCUUGUGAGUUGGGGCCUUCAAAGGGCUGAGGAUGCAGACGGAGGGACCAGCUUCUCAAAUAGGCUUCAAGCCUCCAUGACCUGAGCUCACCCCCUGGAAAUGUCUGGAAAACAUAAUGGGCAGGUUUUCUGUCUUCAAAGUUUCCAUCUAAACCUCUUCAAGUUCUUUAUUGUUUGGGACUGAGACACUUGGGGACGGUAAUGGGGACUUUCUUUUGUAUCUGUCUUGAAAGGCCAAAAUAUUUUUAUAUUGCUGUAGACAAAGCCACCUAUUUACAAAUGAACUCUGUUCUGUCGUUUCCCACUGGGAAGACUGUACCAUGUUUGUGUCUCUAUGUAUUCUGGGGUCUUGAAACAGGUUUCUCAUGGGGAUGGCCAUUCACUGGGGCCCAGAGGGGCAGUCUGCCCUGCCAAGAGGGUCUGGGGAAGGAGGGGCUAGUCUUGGAUCUGCCCCUUGUAUGUCCAGGGGUGAGCCCUGGGAGAAUCUGGUGGUGAAAGAACGUAUGCUGUGUUUGCUCCACAUCUUCCAUUUGUGUUUGUUUCUGGGCUGCGGGUUUGCAUACUCGGGUGGGUAACUUGGUGGGAGAAAGCAGGAAGGGCCAGGAGGGCACGGACGCUCGGGUUUUCUUGUCUGGAGGCCGUUUCACUGGUGUGUGUUACAUCAUGUAACAAAUGUUUAGAUGGAUGAGAGAAGGAAUCAGGAAGGAAUAAAGAGACAAAUAGAAAUGAGGGAACAAGUCUGGAUGGGAGCAUGCAGCCGCCAUUCUGUCUUUUCAUGCCCAGGCAAUCAAUAUACAAAUCAAUAAACUGCCAAGUCAAUAGGCAUAUAGGGCCACAUGCAAACUGGUAUUGGAUCAUCAUGGACCUAAGAAAUUUUUAAUUAAAGAAGGAAUCCUAAAUAAAAGGAAAGUAGCGGGGGAGGGGAGCUGUCUAAACCAGCCCUGAGCUUCCGAGGGCCCUUAAUGUGAACAGAUGGAUGAUGAUGUGAUUAAAAAGAGAAAGAAGCAGGAAAGAAAGAAAACAAACAAAAAAUGAUAAAUCACCACAACGAAGCGAGGGGCUAUGAGACAAUGCAAGGAGAGCCUUCCCAGGGUAGUAUGGGGUGCUGGUGAGUUAAUCUCAUCUGGGCACCCUCGCUCCAUGGGGAUGAGAGACAGCAAGAAGGCCAGGACACACAGAAAGCUGGAACAUGAUGGAGAGGCAGUAUAGAAAGAAAAAGAAGGAAAAAAAUCUAUUAAGCAGACAGACAAGUAGCUUCACAGGAGGGUAAAGCUAGGAUUCAAAAUCUGAACACUUAAUUAGUAGCAGAGGCUUAAAUACUAAAAAGAAAGAAAGCAGGAAGAAAGGGUGGUAGAUGUGAAUGCUUGAAUGAAAGAAAGAGGCAGGGAGCUGCAUGGGCCGCAGAAGAAUGUUUCCAGGUGACUCUCUUGUGCACUGGCCUAUGCAGCUGAGCACGACAAUGGGGGUGGGGAGGUGGGAUGGGGAGAGGAGGAAAGCAAUGUAAAUUCUAUCUCAGAAAGAAGAAAGGUAAUAAUGUGCUCACAGAUAGGUAGAUGAAUACAGGCAGAAGACAGAGCCCUGUUAGGGACAGGACGAAAAGCUGUGCCAGCAGACUGGUUAAUUCCCAUCUGUGUUUCUGAGAUGGACAAUGACCCACCCGACCAAGAGACCUUUCAGGCAACAAUAUGUCGGGGAGGGCUUCAAUGGGGCAGUGGAGGGGUGGCCCAUUAAUAGCAGAUUAUGAUGUAUCCAAUUAGGUGCACCUGCCCUCUGGAAGUGCAGAAACCAGUAUUGAAAUGGAAAGAAAGACUGAAUGGGUGCCUGAGUGCGUGAAUGAAUGAAUGAGAGAAAAAGAUUUGCAUUCACUCUAAGGGGGAGGGUGCUGCAGGGGCCCAAGGGUCAUCUGAUCUCCCAGAGAAUAAAAGGGCGAAAGAGUGGAGAAAGCAACAAUAAGAUGGGGGACAAAUGAAAAGACGCACAGAAGAUAAUAAGUGGGACAAUUAAGUCUAGGAGAGAGGGCUUGUUUAACACAAGUCAUCCAUAUUCAUUCAAAAUUGAGGCCCUGGGCUGGGGUGGAGCUCUGGGAUGGAGCUGUUGCCUAGCAUGUGCCGAGCUCUGGGUUCCAUCUCAGCUCUGAAAAACAAACAGAGCAAAGUUAUGGCCCAGGGGUUGUCAACGAUGAUGAUGAUGAUGACGGUGAUGAUGGUGAUGAUGAUGAUAGAGAAGGAACAAAAAGCUAGAUUAAUCAGAGGAUGCAGAGAAGGAAAAAUGUUGAAAAAAAAUUUAGAUGGACAGAUAUGUAGGAGAAAAGGCAGUGCUUACAUCAGUGUUUAAAUAUGAUGAAUACAUAUUAUCUGUUGAGUGUAUUUAAUAGGGGUGGGACUUAUUCAUAAAAGAACAAAUAUUGAAAAGAAACAAGUUGAUGAGUGACCAUGAAAACCCGAGUGAAGCACAAUGACUUUAGUUAAUCACUGCUGCACUCAAGCUGUGUGAGGGCUAAGAAUGUGCAAAGGGAUAAAGAAACGGGACGGGACAGACAGACACAAUAAAAAGGUUGAGGACAUAAAUGAAUAUACAUGCAGGCAUGUGCCUGAGAGGGCCAUACAGGGAUGAGAGAGAGAGAGAGCAGCAAGAAUUAUGAUUAAUUCAAAACUGGGCUCUUGAGAUAGCUAAAUGUCUCCUGAACCAAAGCGCCAGCACAAGGAAUUACAGAACAAAAGAGCUGCCGGCUGACCCAUGUGGAGAAGGCCUGGGACACUCAGAUCAUGCUUAAUCUAAAUCUGUGCACCUGAGGUCCAUAAAUAAAAGAAUAAAUAUUGAAAUAAAAGAGUGACAGAAAGAAUGAAUGGAUACGCGAAUGGCUGAAUUAGAAAUGGAAAUGCCUAGAGCAGCCAGGAAGGAGUCGCCCAUGGGAGUUUUGCUCAUCUUAUUCUGGGCACCUGAGGUCCCGUAGUAAAAAGAUGCAAGGGAGAAGAGAGAAUGGGAAAAGGCACAAUGAGAGAAAAGCAAAGAGGAGGAAAUGAGAAGCCAGUAAGAGAGGAAGCAAUAUGUGGGUGCCUCAUAAGAGAAAAAUCUGCGAGGAUUAGUGAUGAGGGUCUCAUUAAUCCUGAAGAUCGAUGAGGUAAUCCAGACCCAGGAUCUUAUGGGGAGGGAGAAUAGAGAGAAUUAAAAAAAAAAGAUGCAAAAAGGAGAGAAAGAUAAUAAAACAAGCAACAUGAUAAAUGGGUAAUUAAGAGAGGCUGUCUGAACAGAAAUAGUAAUGAGUUCCCAUGCAUAGUCCUUAAAUAGAUAAAUACAUUAUACCUUUCAAAGAAUGCAUGAAAAAUCGAAGAACACCAUGGCCCCCAAACAAGGAAGCACCUUCCAUUGUAAUAAAAUACAUGCAGUGGAGGGCCAUAAAUAACAGUAAAUGCUUAAAUGUAAAAGGUGAGCAGACACAGGGAAGAAGAUUGCAAGCACAGAUACAUGAGGGAGCCAAUGUUUGUUUUGCACAUGGGAUUUUGAAUAAAACAAUUAUGUUCACAGGAAAUUAAUAGGUUAAAAACAUUUCAAUCCAAGACACAGGAAGGAGAAGGAAAGGAAGAGAGAUUAUGAGAGACAGGGUGAAGACUCAGGGCGCACUUGGCAUGCCUUGUUUCAUUCUGCACACCUGGGUUUAUAAAAAUGAGACCAUAGGAUCAGAAAGCUGGGGAAAAAAUAGGAAAUGAAUGAAAACAUCCUGGAAAAAAAAAGGAAGAGGGAUUUGCAAUGAAAGUGUUUCCAAGAUCUGAUGGUUAUGGUUCAUUUAAAGCUGUGACAUUGAUGUCCCCAAAGGAAUCACAUCUUAACGGAUGCUCUUGUCAAUGAGAAGAUGAUAAAAAUAUAGGCAGAAAAGAAGGGAAGGGGAGACACAGGAAGAGAGGGAGGAGGUGCAUGUGCUGUUCACUGAGAUUGGUAACGGAUGGCUAUUGCCUGACCACAGACUGCUUCUACACAGCCUAACUGGCUGGGAGCUCCUAACUGAGGAAGACUCUAGCCUUGGAGUACCAUUGCCAUUUCCUGGUUGUGUGGGUCAUUUCAUUGUCUGUCACAUCCUCAGUCCAAAGACAGAUCCUUGCAUAGUGCCCUAUCCACAGACUUGGGUAGGUGAGAAGGCUUUAGGCUUGGGUAGAUGAUUGAAUGAUAGAUAAACCCAGUGGGGAUCUUGACCCCUCCUGGGCCAGGAUCUCUUGUGAGCCUUCCAUGAUGGAGCUUUGCCAACCAAGGGGCAGGAGGAGGUCAGGGGGCAGGAGGCCUUGCCUGUUGCAAACCAUCUUGGGUGUGAGGUGCAGGGAAAGUGAAGGUGACCUGGAAGCCCUGAGUCCCAAGAAGCCCUAGGGUGCCUGCUUGUUCUUGCAGCUCUCUGAGAUGUGCCCAAGUAGGCACUAGCCUAUCUCAGCUCGGGGUUCUAAGCAGUUGUAUCUCAGCCUGCACUUUCAGACAUGAUCCUGGGUCCCAGUCCCUAGACAUGCCACCCCUGGAGCCCGUUUCAAGGCCUGUCUUCUAGAAUGUUUAAAGAUGUGUUCUGUAACCAGUAAAAAGCGCGUUUGUACUGUGUGUUGAAACUGUCUUUUCACAUGCCCCUGUGGGCUGCGUGGGGAGACAUGGAGAGUUGUUUAUUCUGGUAUCCCCCUGGGACUCUGCUUCUGUCCAUUUUUCUUUCUCUGUUAUGGACAAGAUUUGUACAGCUGUGUAUAGUGUGCCUGUGUCCAUCCAUUAAAAAGGAGUCACAGUCCCUCUUGGCUUCUCAAUUUCUGUUGGGGAUGUUAAAAAAAAUUUUGAUUCUUACCAAGUGCCCAAGCAAGAAUAGAAUAGCUCAGCUGGAUCCAGGGAGCAUGUGCAGACCUUGGUACAGGGUGGGCUGGUGGGUUAUGGCAAGGGGACUCUGGUGAGAGCCAUGUCCAGGCCCAACAGAAAGAAGGAGUGACAGGCAGGGUGGGUGAGGCUGCUGCUACACCUGAGUUGUGGGAGGUCUGAAAUGCCAGCAAGGAAGAGGGGCCCCAGGGCGAAGAGUUUCCCUCAAGUCUUUAGGAUUGCAGGCAGGGAGUGCUGGAGGAAGCUGGCUGAAGAAGGAAGAUGGCCACUCCCUACGCUUCCAGCUUCAAGCUUUUUAGUGUAGGCCCUGGAUAGAUGGCGACAGCCUCCGAUCGUGGAAGACACGCACUUCACGUGUCAGAAGGCACCUUCUGUGCCCCCAGCACCACGUGUCUGGGCCACGUGAGCAACGCCACGUGGGCCUGACGUGGAGCUGGGGCCGCAGGGGUCUGCUGGCCUCCUCUUUCCGAAUCUGGGGUUCCAGGCUCUGCCUCGGCGUUUACCAUCCCUGGGAACAACUGCUGACCCGGCUUCCUGAAGAUUGUCCAGUCAAGCCCAAGUGACCCUUUGAGAUGAGAGGGGUGGGUGGAGAAGCUCAAGAGAAGAAGACUGGGAGGGUCUUUGCAUGGGACGCACAUGUUAGAUGCUAGAGAGUCAGGCAAGGCUGCAAGAUGGCAGCCACGAGGGAGGGUUGCAGGGAGGAGGAGAAGGGCAUGGCCAUGUGAAGGCUAUAGGUAGGAAGACAGUGACAUGGGACUGCAUGGGGUUGUGUCUCUAGGUGGGCCUUGAUUCAACAUUCAUGCCACGAGCUUGGAGGGGUAUCCUGGAUUACUUUAGGCCAGUUGGACCCACUGCUGCCUUAGAGGGUCUGGGGGCUUGGGUAGGUGACUUUGCUGUGUCACCUUGGGACUAACGAAGGGGAGAUCCUGCUGUUUUGAGUCUUUGACUCUUAAUCAGAUUUAGAAUUCCGAGUGUCUCUAGUUCUGGGUUCUGAGAGUUAGUAGAGCUCCCUAGGAUACAGUACACCUGUGAGGAGGGUGGUCUGCAUGUGCUCCCAAGAUGAGGUCCUAGCACCUUUGCCUGUUCAGGGCUACCUAAGUCAUAGUUUUUUGUUACAAUGUGAUAAGACAAAGCAAAUUUUGUCUUCUGAUUGACCCUCAUGUGCACCACUUAAAGUCCUUUCACUGAUGGUAUACAACUCUCCUCGGCUCCCCCCGCAACUUCCAGCCCAUCCUUGGGGCAGAUGGGCAAAAGCCCCUGGUGUUUCCUGAGUUAAAAGUGUCACUGUAAAGACGUGUGACUCAGAGCAGGGGGAAGCACACCCCCAAUUCCGCCCUUCAUGUGCUCCAUCUUUCUUUCUGCUUUCCAAAUUCAUCUCUUAUGAACACUUCUUUCCCAUUUAACGAACAUCCAUUUUUUAAAGCCUCAUUGGCAUUGUUCACUUUUUGUUGUUGUCCCCUGUCUGUUGCAACAAACAUCUUGUGGUCCAUGUUUUCUUUGCUCCACAGUCUUUCACCUGCUUGGGGGUCCCCUGAACGGCUAUGACAUCAUGGUCGUCUACCCAUCUGACUGUUGCUGGUGCAUGAUCUUCUCUUUUUUUAUAUCACAAAUGACAUCACAACUAAUGGCUUUGCACGACCAGCUUCUCCAGCCCUUUCAAGUACUUCCCUACAUCUAGUUCUUCCCAUGGCUUCUAUCUUUUCAUGUUGCAUCCUUCUUUCUGCUAGACUGUGAGCCCACUCAGGGCAAGGAUCUUGCGGAGCUGACCUCUGUAUCUCUUGUAGGAUGUGUAUGAAUGUGGGCUGGGUGUAUGUGGAAGGGUAGAUAGGUAUGAGUGACAGAGUGAUUGCGGGCUUGGCAGGCAGAUGAGAGGAUAGAUGAAUGGAUGAGUGAAUGAGAGAAGGAGUGAGUGGGUGAGUGAAUGCAUUCUCUGUGGCUGAGCUUCCUGAAUGAGAGGUUAUGGGUAGUUGUAUGGGUGUUGAUUGAUUUCAGAAGGCCUACAGUAUUUUAUCAUGUCCAAUGAUGUAUUAGUAUUUAAGGUAAUGUAUUAGUAUUUAAGAUCUGCUAAUUUUUUUCUCUGUUAAAAAUGCUUUCAUGUGUGUUUUAAAUCUUGUUCUAAUUACUAAUGAAGACAAUACUUUCCAGCCAUGUUUGUUAACAUAUUGUAUCUUAAUCUUCUGUGAACUGUUUGUCCAAGUCCAGUGGUUCAUGGCUUCUUAGGGAGAUCCACCAGGGGUAUCCUUAGGUGAGGUGAGGGCCUUUCUCUCUGGAGGCAAUCCUGUUGGGAGGGGUCUUCUGUAGACACCUACAGAGUGGUGUGAGGAGGCCCAGCUGACCUUUUAGGUCAGUUUGACUUUAGAAUUUACUUUGGGAAAUAGGGAUGUUUAUAUCUUCCACCAUCAGGGAGGGGACAUUUUUAGGUUUGCAUCUAGGUACAUCAUGCCUUUCCAGCUUAGGAGCUCUGAUUGGUCCUGAGUGGCUCUUGUAGUUUAGCAGUCCUUUAUCUUGUGCCACUGAGUGAUGGACUGCCUUCCCACCUAUCCUCCUAUUCUGGAACCAGUUCUUAUGGGAAUUGGCUUCUUAGUGCUCUGUGAUGUGUGCACACUUCCUUUGGCCUUGGCUAUACUUGUGCCUCCAUGGUAGUUGUGGACUUUCCAGAAUGAAUGGGAAACUUGGUUCAAGGCUGAUGUGAACUGCCUCAGGUUUAGUUCUGGGAGCAAGGCCAUCCUGUGGUCUCUGUUCUUCUCAUGACUUUGUCACAGGGCAGUUUCUGCCAUUUUGGUAGAGGACAUAAUCAAGGAGAGCCCAUUCCUGCCUUCUGGAAUACUCUCCCACCCUCUAUUAUAGCACUGAGCAUGUCUGCCUGUGUUCAGCCCUCUCACCCCAUGCUUACCUAGACAUAAAGCUUGAGAAGCCAGUGGUGAUUUUCAACAUGACUUUAAUCCAUCUAUCCAUCCAUCUAGCUGCCACCAUCCAUCCAUCCAUCCAUCCAUCCAUCCAUCCAUCCAUCCAUCCAUCCACGCAUUGGGCCUCCAUCUCUUGACCUGGAGCUUUGAGCCUCUCCCUCUCCUGAAAGCAAACCCUUUCACCUUGAGCAAGCUGUGUGGCACCAUGGGCUGUGGUCAUGAAGCAACUCCCCCAUUUUGUAGCCUCCAACUACUAGGUCACUGCUCUGAGCACGUUCCAGCUGGAUCCCAUUACCACAGCUUUUUGUCCAUGAUGCUUCUCACACAUUACACACCUCCACUGUGAUCCAGGAGGGUCAGGCUACCAGCUUGGCCCGGGGCCGACCCUUCCCACCGUUAGCAGAGCUGCCUCCCCAGGCUUCCCCUGCCUGGUGCAUGGUCCCUGUCAUGAGCUUUGCCUUCAGCCUUGCAGCUUCCUCCAGCAGAUGGCAGUGGUUGUAACUCGUGCGCAUUUCUUCACUCCUUCAUUCAUUCCCGUAUAGUCAGCAAGCAUCUUAAACAAUUAGCUAGUGCUAUACUAGAGCUGGCUCACAAGAACUCAUGCCCCUAUUGCCCUUUGCAAGAGAAGAUGGGGGCAUUUGCAAGGAAGCAAUGUUUGUGUGUCCAAUAAAGUGAGCUCCUUGAUUUCAAUUCAAACUUAAGGCCUGCGUUUUGUUGCAAGCUUGAUUGCGUUCUUCAACUUUGUUCCUCACAAAACUAGGUUGAUUAGUAAUCAGCAAACUGUGUUCCCUGGGUGUUCAGAAAUCAUAGCCCAUAUCCUUAAGAGGCCCAAUGGGGAGUGGACAUGUGCACUAGGCAGUUUUUCAAGACUGUGAGGCACCUCAGUCUUUUGCAAGGAUGAUCUGAGAGUCAUUCCGGCCACUUUUGAGCUCAGCUAAUGUGAGGCUCUUUUCAGAGAAAAUUGCAGGAGGUGAUUGCUUAUACAGGUGACAAGGAUUGUGCCCUAGGCAGGGGCUCUUUCUGAGCAAUCUAUUCGCAGACCCCGGUGGGCAAGGCACAUGGCAUUUUACAAACCCUGAUCUCAGCCCUGUGCAUUUGAGUGGGUCCCAGGAUAGUGGGAACCUUUCUCCAGCUUUCUGCGGGGGAGGGGAAGAGGCACAGGUCACUUCUGACUUUGGUGCUUCGUCCUGGAAGGAGUAGGGAAUUGGCAAAGCCAGGACCUGGAGCUGGACAAAUUGUGUGGUGGCCCUUAUCUGAGAGCUUGGGUGUCUUCUGUGGUAGGGACUGUGGCGCCCACCUCUCAGGGCUGUUGUGAGCAUUGGUGUAACUGGAUUUCUGACUGUGACUCUAGAAGGCAUUGUAUGUGUCCCUGGGGGUGUGCCAGGGCAUUGGGAACUCUAGCACCAGGGGGUGGGGUGGCCUUGCAUGGUGGGAAAUAGUUUUGUUUUGUUUUGUUUUAUCCUGAUCAAAGGGUAUAUGCUAAAUUUAUGUGUUAUUUUUCAUAUAAACUAGGGGCUUUCACAACAUGGUUUGAGGGACUCUUCAGGUAGUGCCUCUGCUCUUGCUUCCCCCUUGGACACAUCCAUACCCACCUCUUCGAACAGUUGGGAGUGCCUUGUAGCUCUCUGACUGAGAACCAUGCCUCUGAGUCAGGCCUGUAUAUGGCACCUAAUUUCAUCCCUUUCCUAAAGUCUCUUACCAGGAGAGUAUUUGGCAUGGUCUGGUAGAUAUCAUUCUCCUCUUCCCAGUGUCUUCUUUCCCACCAACAGCAACAGGCCAAAGUGCCUGAAAUCUGGUGCCUACCACAGUGCCUGGCCAGGGGUAGGGGCUCACUUGUCUUCUUCUAUUUGGUCUGUGUAGAUAGAUGGGCAGCUAACCAAACUGUAACCCAUCCCAGGGCAGAUGUUUAUAGUCUCAUAGAGAGGUCUGGAGUGAAUGAAGAAUGUAUUGGAAUCUAUAUCUAAUCAUCUUAUUGUGUUUCUCUCUUCCCAUCUUGUGAACUAACCACUGUUGUAUUGUAGUGGGCAUUUGUUUUACAAGCUAAGUAAAGGAACUUUAGUUUUCA